This 347-nucleotide unclassified non-coding RNA is filed under the name soil metagenome. RNAcentral describes it as "partial contains 5.8S ribosomal RNA, internal transcribed spacer 2, and large subunit ribosomal RNA". The stretch from base 1 to 120 matches the Rfam family "5.8S ribosomal RNA", at positions 35 to 154 of the family's 154-position model. The record is from RNAcentral.
GAUGAAGAACGUAGCAAAAUGCGAUAAGUAAUGUGAAUUGCAGAAUUCAGUGAAUCAUCGAAUCUUUGAACGCACAUUGCGCCCGCUGGUAUUCCGGCGGGCAUGCCUGUUCGAGCGUCAUUUCAACCCUCAAGCCCCCGGGUUUGGUGUUGGGGAUCGGCUCUGCCCUUCUGGGCGGUGCCGCCCCCGAAAUACAUUGGCGGUCUCGCUGCAGCCUCCAUUGCGUAGUAGCUAACACCUCGCAACUGGAACGCGGCGCGGCCAUGCCGUAAAACCCCAACUUCAGAAUGUUGACCUCGGAUCAGGUAGGAAUACCCGCUGAACUUAAGCAUAUCAAUAAGCGGAGA